GGCAGGCUACAGUCCAUAGUGUCACAAAGAGUUGGACACGACUGAAGUGAGUUAGCACAUAGAUAUAUGUAUGUAUCAAACAUUUACUAAAAUAUAUCUGCCUAGGGGUUUGGAAAUCUAGAAGGAUACUUAGCAAACUGUUAACAGUCAUUACAUUUCCUUGUGUGUGUUCAGUCAGGAUGGUACAAUUUAGGGUAAUUUUCUUUUAUUUUUAAAAUAUUUGCAUAUGUUUUUCUAUAUAGGGACUGUACAUUUGUGUAAUUAGGAAAGAAUUUUUAAAAGAAAAGAAAAAAUAAGACUGAUCUUUAAAAUACUCAGUGCUUUAGUCCAAAGCUGGAAUUUAGCAAGGUUUUCUUUCUCAGUCACGGCUCCAUUGUUAAAAAUUCUAGGAUUUUUUUUUUUUUAAUCAAUUCUAGCUGUUAUCACCUCCUGUGGUAAAUGUCACGUACACUUUUAAUUGGUUUUACCCUACUAGUACCAAAUUUACUUGUACUGAUUUAGGAAAUGUAACCAAAGUGCCAUUUUAGAAAAAAUUCUCAAGAGAAAUAUUUAACUAGGUUAUAGUUUAGGCCUAAGUGUUCAGAGAUGAGAUUUUCAUUCUUUUCUCUGACCUUGUGUCAGCCAAUGGAAUGUGAAUGAUUUUUAACAGUGCAAUUUAAGGAAAUACUGCACAAACUUAAAUUACUAUGUCAGGCAAAAAAGACACACUUAUUUUCUUUAAUGAAUGACAGCAUAAGUCCCUAAAGAAUGCAAAAAGAGAAUUUUUUUAAAGUGCAUAACCAGUAAUGCUACCUACUGAGAUGUAAUUUGGGUCUUUCAUUCUUUUAAUUGCUAGUAACAUAGCUUAUACACAAAUCACAAAAAGGUAAGACUGAAAAUACUUAUUGGUUCUAUUAUAAAGAAAAUAGCUAAAUCAAAGGUAAAUGUAAGAGAGUAAAUGUUGCAAAAUAAGAAAAAUUUUAGGCUCUCACAGUUAUUUUCCUAUAUGAAUGAUAACAGUACCCCAAAUAAGUAUAAUAAAAGUAACAUCAACUAAAUUAGCUCAGAGCACUGGGCCUAUUUCUAAAUAUAGCUCUCAGCAGUCCAAAAAAUAACAAGCCACUUAGUUUCUAUACCCCUAAAUAUAGGUUUAAGAUAGGACUUGGUAUAGUCCUACAAUAUGUGAAGACUUCAUAAAUCUAAAUGUAAAUAUCCUUGUAUUCUUCUUUUCCUUCUUCGUAUAUAGCAAACACUGAAUUCAUGUUUACCUACAGUUACAAACCACCUACUGUUCUAAACACUACCCUAGGCAAAAAAAGUAAUGGUAUUAAUUUUAGCUAAUUUUCUGAUUUAUCAAUAAAAUGGGUAUUUCCAUAGUGGAAGCAAAUAUAGAGGAUUUAUCAAAUAAAUGAUGACAUUAUCAAAAAUGUAUAAGAAAUUUAAAAAUUCACAUAAGUAAGACAAACAGAAUUUAUAAAUUUUUAACUGGGAUAAAGACAUUUUUAUUUAGACAUAAAAUCAACUUUAUAAGCAAAUUUGUAUCCAACAAUUUAAAAUCCCUAAAUGGCUACUUUGCUUUGAACAAAUAGUUAACAGACUUCAAAAUAAGUCAUCAAAAAUCAGACACCCUCAAAGUUGCUGGGUGUUUUCAAUUUCCUUUUGCUUCAUUUACUAAAGAAAAAUAGCAAAAACAAUUAACUACGUUUAGUUGCCUGCAGAGGAAGUCAGUCAACAAGUAAAAGCUAUGCCUCUGGAGUGAAUGUGGUUGCGUAACUGUUGAAUGUAAGUAUCAAAGCUGGACAAUGCAAUCUAAUGAUGGUUCAUACAAACUAACAGGAGUAUAGAACACAUCUUGUCUUGGCUCUGAGCCUCCAACAUAAUCUGUUUCUUGAAAUCUGUGUUUUUGUCUAAGUAUAUCCAAUAUAGCUUUUUAAAAAGAGACAGAAAAUAGUUGUGGGAGAAAACAUCACUUAAAAAAUCUUGUAAGACCAGCAAAAUUCCUAUUAUUCCAUUUCCUUGGAGUAAAACCAAACUGGCAUGUUGGAAAUGUCUUGUCUUCAAAGAGCCAAUGUUCAACACCAUUUAGCAAGUAAGAAGAAUGAUAAAUAUGUAUUGAGCGUUCCAUGGCACUUCAUAGGAUUUAAAACUGCUAUGCCUACAUUUAUUCCUAAGAAAAACAAUAAAUAUGUAUUGAGUGGUAUUGGCAUGUCUUAGGAUUUAAAACUCCUAUGCUUAUAUUUAUUCCUUCUAUAAUAAGUGAAUAUGAUUUUAAUUAAAGUACCCUAAAGCAAUUUGAUAUUGUUCCAAAAUGUUAUAUUGGUGGGUUGUCAGAAUUGUUUUUUAGGUAAAGGGCAUUUUAAUUUUUUUUGGCCAUGGCCUGCAGUAUGUGGGAUCUUAGUUCCCUGACCAGGGGUUGAACCUCUGUCUCCUGCAUUGGGAGCACAGAGUCUUAAACACUGGACUGCUGGGGAACUCCUGGUAAAGGGUACUUUUAAAUGCUGGUGUUAUGAAUAUGCUUAAGAGAAAAUUUAGUGAAAUAAUCAAAAGAUUUUUAGAUCUCACACAAUAAUAAAAAGCACUUUUAAAUAAUCAAGGACUCUCAUGUCACCAUCAUAGGUAUCUCAGUUGAAAAAGAUGUUAAUUGACACCAUAGUUUUAGUUUGAGCUGACAAGUAUCACAAUUAGAGGCUCAACAAGGAUGCACUUUGGGCCAAAGAGCCAAAUAUAUAAAGAACACUCAAGCACAGCUUUUUAAAAAAUGACAUUUUUAUUUAAAAUAUUUCACAAUGUGAAAUUAUAUUUCCCAGAGAAUGCUGAGCAAAUCAUGUAGCAAACAGCCUUUUUCUCAUUUUUAUUUAACAGUAUACAGAAUCCCCCUGCCAAUGAAGGAGACUCGGGUUCUAUCCCCGGGUCGGGAAGAUCCCCUGGAGAAUGAAACUGGGUCACAAAAGAGUGGAACACAACUUAGCGACUGAACGACAACAGAUUCUUCCACACCACGUGUCACAAUACCAUGUGAUCUGACUUCUGCCCACACUGCAUGCCUGAAACAGUACUUUCAGGGCAGAAAGACAGAGUGAUUAAGAACACGGUUCCUAAAAUCAGACAAUCCCUGAAAGGAUCCUGGCACGCAGCUGGCAUACUGAAGAUUAUUUAAAUACAAUCAAGGGUUGAGUCCACCUGAGGGAGCUGUUAAAAUCUCUGUGAGGCCCGAUAUCCAUGGAUUCCAAGUGAAGCCUGGAGAUUAGCUAGCGUCCCUCCUCUUUGUUGUCUUGAAAGAUACGUUGCACCUAAAGGACUCUUUGAUGCUUUUGAACUGUGGUGUUGGAGAAGACUCUUGAGAGUCCCUUGAACUGCAAGGAGAUCAAACCAGUUAA
This is a long non-coding RNA of Capra hircus (goat), 3356 nucleotides long. RefSeq lists it as uncharacterized. The record is from RefSeq and is a predicted model, not a curated record. NCBI's taxonomy places the organism in Eukaryota, Metazoa, Chordata, Mammalia, Artiodactyla, Bovidae. The transcript is spliced from 3 exons.